Small nucleolar RNA from Apodemus sylvaticus (European woodmouse), 143 nucleotides. RefSeq annotates it as small nucleolar RNA SNORA48. The transcript has a single exon. NCBI's taxonomy places the organism in Eukaryota, Metazoa, Chordata, Mammalia, Rodentia, Muridae. The record is from RefSeq and is a predicted model, not a curated record.
ACCCCCAGCAAAAGGCAAAGAGACACCUUGUUGGUGAUGUUGUUCUUGUAUCAGCCAGGGGCAGAGCAGACAACAGUUCUUGUUCAUCCUAGCUUGAUGUCUGAUUUGGUGGCCAAAGCUGUUCUGAUGCCUAGGACUCAUAA